RNAcentral lists this unclassified non-coding RNA (339 nucleotides) under soil metagenome. RNAcentral's name for it is "partial contains 5.8S ribosomal RNA, internal transcribed spacer 2, and large subunit ribosomal RNA". The stretch from base 1 to 120 matches the Rfam family "5.8S ribosomal RNA", at positions 35 to 154 of the family's 154-position model. The record is from RNAcentral.
GAUGAAGAACGCAGCGAAAUGCGAUACGUAGUGUGAAUUGCAGAAUUCAGUGAAUCAUCGAAUCUUUGAACGCACAUUGCACCUCUCGGUAUUCCGGGAGGUAUGCCUGUUCGAGCGUCAUUUGUACCCUCAAGCUCUGCUUGGUGUUGGGUGUUUGUUCCGCCUCUGUGUGUGAACUCGCCUCAAAACAAUUGGCAGCCGGCGUACUUGUUUCGGAGCGCAGCACAUUUUGCGAUCCAGAUCAACGUACAGCGGCAUCCAAGAAGCCUUAUUUAACGCUCUUGACCUCGGAUCAGGUAGGGAUACCCGCUGAACUUAAGCAUAUCAAUAAGCGGAUGA